GAUGGUUCUUGAGUGAUGAACCCCAGAAUCAGGCUCCCUACUUUCUGGUUCCAGGGUGUGUCACACAAGCUGCU
Myotis davidii is the source of this 74-nucleotide non-coding RNA. NCBI's taxonomy places the organism in Eukaryota, Metazoa, Chordata, Mammalia, Chiroptera, Vespertilionidae. The record is from Rfam.